AUGUGCCGCUCGUACAUUGCGGUUCUGAGCGCGCCGUCCGCGCCCGCCUCACGGCUGCUCGCUACGUUUUGUCAGCC
This 77-nucleotide small RNA is filed under the name Xanthomonas euvesicatoria. RNAcentral describes it as "sX9 sRNA". It matches the Rfam family "Xanthomonas sRNA sX9". Lineage: Bacteria; Pseudomonadati; Pseudomonadota; Gammaproteobacteria; Lysobacterales; Lysobacteraceae. The record is from RNAcentral. RNAcentral also lists the same sequence under 1 other name.